AACAGAUGUUCCUUUCGCCAUUAUUGGUUCAUCAACCAUCAUGUCUGUCGUCUCUUCAUCCGAGCUCUCGUCGUCUUCAUCAUCAGCGAUCACCAUUUUACUUUGAUGAACAGCAUUUCUCGCAUGGCCUUGUUUCCUUAAUUUUUCAACUGAUUCAGAAUUACCUUUAAGACAGUCUUCAUGAAUAAUCAUCAAUUGGUAUGCAACCUGCUCGACGCUAUCAUCACAAACAUCCAUAUAGAACAACUGAUCCAUGU
This 257-nucleotide unclassified non-coding RNA is filed under the name Hevea brasiliensis (rubber tree). The record is from RNAcentral. Lineage: Eukaryota; Viridiplantae; Streptophyta; Magnoliopsida; Malpighiales; Euphorbiaceae.